This 301-nucleotide ribosomal RNA is filed under the name uncultured bacterium. Its description in RNAcentral is "partial 16S ribosomal RNA". It matches the Rfam family "Bacterial small subunit ribosomal RNA", at positions 509 to 807 of the family's 1533-position model. The record is from RNAcentral.
CAGCCGCCGCGGGAAUACGAAGGGUGCAAGCGUUAAUCGGAAUUACUGGGCGUAAAGGGUGCGUAGGCGGUUAGUUAAGUCUGCUGUGAAAUCCCCGGGCUCAACCUGGGAAUGGCAGUGGAUACUGGCAAGCUAGAGUGUGUCAGAGGAUGGUGGAAUUCCCGGUGUAGCGGUGAAAUGCGUAGAGAUCGGGAGGAACAUCAGUGGCGAAGGCGGCCAUCUGGGACAACACUGACGCUGAGGCACGAAAGCGUGGGGAGCAAACAGGAUUAGAUACCCCCGUAGUCCCUGUCUCUUAUAC